Molecule: ribosomal RNA, 460 nt
Filed under: uncultured bacterium
Lineage: Bacteria
Description: partial 16S ribosomal RNA
Rfam family: Bacterial small subunit ribosomal RNA
Source: RNAcentral
CCUACGGGUGGCAGCAGUGAGGAAUAUUGGUCAAUGGUCGCGAGCCUGAACCAGCCAAGUAGCGUGAAGGAUGACUGCCCUACGGGUUGUAAACUUCUUUUAUAAAGGAAUAAAGUGAGGCACGUGUGCCUUUUUGUAUGUACUUUAUGAAUAAGGAUCGGCUAACUCCGUGCCAGCAGCCGCGGUAAUACGGAGGAUCCGAGCGUUAUCCGGAUUUAUUGGGUUUAAAGGGAGCGUAGGCGGGUUGUUAAGUCAGUUGUGAAAGUUUGCGGCUCAACCGUAAAAUUGCAAUUGAUACUGGCAGUCUUGAGUACAGUUGAGGUAUGCGGAAUGCGUGGUGUAGCGGUGAAAUGCAUAGAUAUCACGCAGAACCCCGAUUGCGAAGGCAGCAUACUAAACUGUGACUGACACUGAUGCACGAAAGUGUGGGUAUCAAACAGGAUUAGAUACCCCUGUAGUC